GGCUUGGUGGUGUAGUUGGUUAUCACGUCAGUCUAACAAGCAAAUGUUAGGCGCACUGAAGGUCCCGAGUUCGAACCUCGGCCGAGUCA
Molecule: non-coding RNA, 89 nt
Organism: Zopfia rhizophila CBS 207.26
Lineage: Eukaryota; Fungi; Ascomycota; Dothideomycetes; Zopfiaceae
Source: the annotation of a GenBank genome assembly